This 637-nucleotide non-coding RNA is filed under the name Drosophila simulans. Its description in RNAcentral is "Eukaryotic large subunit ribosomal RNA". It matches the Rfam family "Eukaryotic large subunit ribosomal RNA", at positions 2109 to 2794 of the family's 3401-position model. Lineage: Eukaryota; Metazoa; Arthropoda; Insecta; Diptera; Drosophilidae. The record is from Rfam by way of RNAcentral.
UAAAACAAGUUCGGAGAGGUCCGAAAGUCACUGUCCCUAUCUACUAUCUAGCGAAACCACAGCCAAGGGAACGGGCUUGGAAUAAUUAGCGGGGAAAGAAGACCCUUUUGAGCUUGACUCUAAUCUGGCAGUGUAAGGAGACAUAAGAGGUGUAGAAUAAGUGGGAGAUAUUAGACCUCGGUUUGGUAUCGUCAAUGAAAUACCACUACUCUUAUUGUUUCCUUACUUACUUGAUUAAAUGGAACGUGUAUCAUUUCCUAGCCAUUAUACGGAUAUAUUUAUUAUAUCUUAUGGUAUUGGGUUUUGAUGCAAGCUUCUUGAUCAAAGUAUCACGAGUUUGUUAUAUAAUCGCAAACAAAUUCUUUAAUAAAACGAUGCAUUUAUGUAUUUUUGAUUUGAAAAUUUGGUAUAACUCCAAUUACUCAGGUAUGAUCCAAUUCAAGGACAUUGCCAGGUAGGGAGUUUGACUGGGGCGGUACAUCUCUCAAAUAAUAACGGAGGUGUCCCAAGGCCAGCUCAGUGCGGACAGAAACCACACAUAGAGCAAAAGGGCAAAUGCUGACUUGAUCUCGGUGUUCAGUACACACAGGGACAGCAAAAGCUCGGCCUAUCGAUCCUUUUGGUUUAAAGAGUUUUU